CUCCCGUGAACAAGAUUGAUGAACAUUUUGUUGCAGAUUCAAGAGCCCAGACCCAGCCCUCGUCUGUCUGUAGCACUGCAUCUUCCACACCAGCAGCUGUCCCCGUGCAGCAGAACAAGAGGGGUACCAUGGGCUGGCAGAAGGCUGGGCACCCGCCACCUGAUGGCCAACAGAGAGCAACACAACAGGGCUCUCUCAGGACCUUGCUUGGAGAUGGUGUUGGCAGACAGCAGCCACGGACCAAACAAGUGUGCAACAUGGAGGUGGGUCUUCAAACCCAGGAGAGGCCACCUGCCAUGGCGGCCAAGCACAGCAGCAGUGGACACUGUGUUCAGAACUUUCCUCCGUCCCUGGCUUCAAAACCCAGCCUGGUCCAGCAGAAACCAACCGCAUAUGUGCGGCCGAUGGACGGCCAAGAUCAGGCUCCUGAUGAAUCUCCAAAGCUUAAGUCAUCUACAGAAGCCAGUGUGCACUGCACGUCAUACAGGGGGGUCCCAGCCAGCAAGCCGGAGUCAGCCAGAGCCAAGGCCAAGCUUUCCAAGUUCAGCAUCCCCAAGCAGGGGGAGGUGAGUCUUCUCCCAAUACCACUUAUGUGCAACUCAGUAAUUAUAAGUGACUGCUCGACUGUUGUGAAUUCAGUUUCCAUGUUUCUUUUUUUCAGAGAUGUGGCUGAUUUCUUGUGCUAGAAUUUGUAGCAGUCACUAAAGGGGGAGGCAAACAUGAAUAAUAUUUUUGUAAAAUCUCAAAUUUAUUAUCAUUGCAAUUUUUUAGGUACCAAGUGCAGGGGUGUGUGUGGGUGUGUUGAGGAAGGAAUGCCUCUUCAUUAUAUUUCAAGGGAUUUUUAUGAAUAAGCCAGUGUUGACUGAGAUACUACAUACUAGAAAUAAAAGCACUUCAAAGGCUAUAAUUUUUAAUAUGUAAAGAGAUUAAUUUUCAUGUAAAAGAGUUUGAAAACUCAACAUUUUUGUCAGUUUUGAAAUAGCUCAGGACAAAUUUCACAGAAUAAAACUCAUAAUAAUUUUUGAAGUAAUUGUUUAAAUGAUUCAAUAUUGAAUACGGUGAAUAUUCAUAUGUAUCAGAUAUCCCAUCCAUAUUAUAAUAUUUAGAUCCAGGUUCAUUCAUGUUAAUCAUAAUUCUUACUCGAACUCUCCUUGUCCUAUAGAAGUGAUCUUUGAUUAUAUGAGAAAAGUGAAACAUUUUAGUUCGUAAUCUUCUGGUUGGCAUUCUGAUUUUAUUCUAAAGUAUUCAUUGCAUUACAGCAUGUAUGGCGUGGGUGUAUUGAGUAUUAGAGUUCUAAAAAAGCAAGUCAUAGAGUUAUGGAGAUGGCAAAGAUGCACUGACUAGUCACGUGAAGGCUAAAUCUGGGUGGAAUGAAGUUUUGUUUUAGAGAAGUGCAUCUCAUAUUAUAUAACAAAUUGAUGAUAGUCAUCAAGAACACAUGAAGAAGAAAUACGAUUGUGUACCUUUGUUGUUUUGUUGUGUUAUGGUAUACUAACUAAAAUAAAGUGUGAGUUCCAGAAAAAAAAAAAA
Galeopterus variegatus (Sunda flying lemur) is the source of this 1530-nucleotide long non-coding RNA. RefSeq lists it as uncharacterized. Lineage: Eukaryota; Metazoa; Chordata; Mammalia; Dermoptera; Cynocephalidae. The transcript is spliced from 2 exons. The record is from RefSeq and is a predicted model, not a curated record.